GACGAACGCUGGCGGCGUGCUUAACACAUGCAAGUCGAACGGAAAGGCCCUGCUUUUGUGGGGUGCUCGAGUGGCGAACGGGUGAGUAACACGUGAGUAACCUGCCCUUGACUUUGGGAUAACUUCAGGAAACUGGGGCUAAUACCGGAUAGGAGCUCCUGCUGCAUGGUGGGGGUUGGAAAGUUUCGGCGGUUGGGGAUCGACUCGCGGCUUAUCAGCUUGUUGGUGGGGUAGUGGCUUACCAAGGCUUUGACGGGUAGCCGGCCUGAGAGGGUGACCGGCCACAUUGGGACUGAGAUACGGCCCAGACUCCUACGGGAGGCAGCAGUGGGGAAUAUUGCACAAUGGGCGGAAGCCUGAUGCAGCAACGCCGCGUGCGGGAUGACGGCCUUCGGGUUGUAAACCGCUUUCGCCUGUGACGAAGCGUGAGUGACGGUAAUGGGUAAAGAAGCACCGGCUAACUACGCG
Molecule: ribosomal RNA, 468 nt
Filed under: uncultured bacterium
Lineage: Bacteria
Description: partial 16S ribosomal RNA
Rfam family: Bacterial small subunit ribosomal RNA
Source: RNAcentral